This is a long non-coding RNA of Eucalyptus grandis, 2728 nucleotides long. RefSeq lists it as uncharacterized. Lineage: Eukaryota; Viridiplantae; Streptophyta; Magnoliopsida; Myrtales; Myrtaceae. The record is from RefSeq and is a predicted model, not a curated record. The transcript is spliced from 2 exons.
AGCUGUUUGCACGAGCGUCUCUUUAAACACCUUCCUAGGCGAAACUCACUCCAUGCAAACCCUAGUUUAAACACGGAAGCUUUGUCUUUCAGUUGCUUUGUCACUCUUUGUUCUCCGACAUGUUCGGAUCAUCUUCUUCUCAGUUUUCUGGAGACAACGGCUCUGGGUGCCCUUAAUGCUUGCAUGGCUUCUUUCAAGCUUUCUUUUUUUCUUUUAAUCUUUGCGCAACUGCAAGAAAGAAGUCCAUUCUUCUUGUUCUUCUACUUCUUCUCUUAAGUUUGUGCUUCUUUCAAGCUUUCUUUUUUUCUUUUAAUCUUUGCACAACUGCAAGAAAGAAGUCCAUUCUUCUUGUUCUUCUACUUCUUCUUCUCUUAAGUUUGUGCAAGUCGCUUGGAUGGGUUCUUUUAUGUUUGUGAUUUUGGUUUGUCUGUAAUAGAACCCUGCCAAGUUACUCAAAGCUCAGAUGAACCUUACAAAGCACACACGUGAUGAGAAGGACUAUUUCUCACCAGAGUAAGAGAGUUUUUCUAAGCUGAUGCUACUAAAGAAAAAUUAUGUUGGACAAAGAAAAAACAUCCUACAUGUUAGUUUGAUAUAUUAUACGAUUGUAUUAGACUAUGCAUCAUUUUUUCACUGUCAAUGCCUAUCACUUGAGGGCUUGAAGCCAUCCUGCCCCUAGGUAAGCAAGACUGCAUGUCACCUAAGCUAGGGAGAUAGGUCAUAAACUUUUAACCAGCAGUAAAACUUCAUCAUGUAACUUGCAUCUUCAAUGCCACAUUGAUCUAACUCAUUUAGUUUUGGAGAUCCAAUAUGUAGAUGACAACAACAGCAUCCAUACCAGCUACAAAUUGCUUGUGCAGCGAUCUGUGAGUUAUCAUCAUGAGGCCAACUAAGGGUGCAACUGAUGAAUUGAGCAUUUUUGGGAUCUCUAAGAGUGGGAGUUGAAGGAAAUGUUCUUGAGGAACUUGAUAUUGAAAAUCCAGCUCUUUCUUGCAAGCAUAGGGGACAUGGUGGUAAGCAUAAUUAGGGUGUGAAAUUUGCUUGGGCGAGUCGAGGUCGGGCAUGAAAGAGGACUGAUCAUCAUACCAACAAGGAGAUCCAUGCUCGCUCAUCUUGCGUACAGUUGUCAUUCUUUUCUUGAACACCCGACAAACAACCCAACCUUCUUCCUGUUCAAGUAAUAGAAAAGGUUCACUUGUCAAUUUUGUCAUCUAGUUAUUAAAGUAGCAGUGUUGAAAAUAGCCAAAAAACCAAAAGAAAACGCCACCUAGUACCACCAAAUAACAAAGACAAAAGUAAGAUUUAGUUAUAUCUUUCUCAUUAGAUGAUUUUCCAAUCUUCUAACUUGAAAAAAACAAAUCAUAGUGAUUUGAACUUGCUUUGAGGAUAUCAAUAAUAGAGGCCAAUCAACAUUGUCAUCCAUAUCAUCCUAUAAUUUGGUAAAUGCCUUUAGUAAUUGAUACAUAGAUCGUGCAUACAUAUCAUGGGAUGAAUCAAGGCCAGAUACCUAGCUAGGUAACUAUACCUUACAACUUAAUAUUUCAAUUAAGACAAGUUUUAUUUGCAGUUGAUCAUGUGCUUGUAGGGUCAUAAUUCUAACCUAAGCACAACUACUUCAGUAAUAGUUAUGCCUUGAGACCAUAAAAAUCCAUAUAUUUUUGUAGAAACAUCAAGCUUUGUCCAAAGCAUUGAUAAAAGAAGGAAUAGUCAAGACGCUUUUGAGAUGUCUUAAGGAUCUCAUGUUGCAAUACGCAUGGGCAAAUUGGACAAUUUGAAAAAGAGUUUGUAACAAGAUGGUUGAUAAUUACUUGCCUGACCAGUUCCGUUCUCAUCUGUCUCUAAACGGUAUUCAUGCAUAAUCCAGUCAGAUUUCUGUCCAUUCGGAGCUCGGCCUUUAUAAAAGACUAAUGUCUUCCUCAUGCCAAUUAAGUCAUGCUUGGAGUAAAUAGCCUUGUCUCUUCCUGUUGCUUUCCAGAAUCCAGCUGCAGUGGCUCUAUUUGUGCGAGUUCCGGUUGGAUAUUUCUUGUCCUUAUGGCUAAAAAAAUACCAUUCAUUCUGAUCUUCUGUCCCGAUACAGCAUAACUCUGCCCACAUUUUACAUUGCAUAUAGUUUACAAUUUACUUUCACUGAAUUCAAAAUGUUAUAUUUAGUUGUGAAAACUUGGAACUGCUAGUACCUUGAAGAUCCCAUGGCUCAAUUUUGUAAAGGUCGACGUCCUUAAUGACAUCAAGAUCGAUCCUCCUUGAAGUGAUCUUUUUCCUCAGGUAGUAAUCAACAAGUUCUUCAUCAGUAGGGUGGAAUCGAAAUCCCGGGGGGACACGUGAAAAGGUGUUCAUAUUCGAUCCUCUUUAGAUAUAUCCUGAGACCUGCAGCUGGGUUAAGAAUUUUCAAUCAGCAUUUCUUGAAACCAUCUUCAAGAUCAACAAAACAAGAUGUCAAGUUCAUAAACCCAGUAGUCAUUUAAACAAUAGCUACGUGUAAGAAGCGUGACUAAAGGAAACUUCUUCUUAGAGGUAGUCAAAGAGUUAUAUCGUGAAAAAUGGCGCUCACUUUUGCCAUUAAAAAAAUAUUUUGUUCACGUGAAAACUUGUUUACCAUUGUUCGUUCAAAUAAGAUUUCUAUACGAGAAUGUAGUUUUUCCCAGUCCGUUCAACCUAGCUUACAAGCAAGUGACAUUGUAAAUCAACUAAAUAAUGGCCAAAAGGUAAUUCAAAAGCAAUGUUAAAG